This 60-nucleotide transfer RNA is filed under the name Duplicibothrium sp. MZUSP 8039. Its description in RNAcentral is "tRNA-Arg". Lineage: Eukaryota; Metazoa; Platyhelminthes; Cestoda; Tetraphyllidea; Serendipidae. The record is from RNAcentral.
GACAUAAUCAAAGUCUAUGUUACGGCCAUAGAAUGGACAUUAUCAGAAUGUCUUAUGUUU